Molecule: long non-coding RNA, 141 nt
Filed under: Polistes fuscatus (common paper wasp)
Lineage: Eukaryota; Metazoa; Arthropoda; Insecta; Hymenoptera; Vespidae
Description: uncharacterized LOC122519252
Source: RNAcentral
CAAUAACAUACAAUCUUUUAUCUACGAUGAACCUAAGGAAUUGUUACGUAUAUUGUUAUCCUUAUGGAUUCUUGGAUAUAAAGCUGAAUUUAUGAUACAGGAAUGCAUUAAAAGAAGUAUUUUUCUUCAAGCGCACAAUAA